CUCUAAAAGAGACAUAAACAUGACAAAUGAAACAUUCAAGUACUUGACAAUGAAGAGAUCUAGCUAGCUAUGUCAU
This 76-nucleotide small RNA is filed under the name Arabidopsis thaliana (thale cress). RNAcentral describes it as "ATSL224390". Lineage: Eukaryota; Viridiplantae; Streptophyta; Magnoliopsida; Brassicales; Brassicaceae. The record is from RNAcentral.